AUCGGUACCCUCACAAAAGCACUGACUUUGAUGCUGUAAUUGGUAAGUGCUAUUUGUUGGGGUAGUUUCA
Molecule: non-coding RNA, 70 nt
Organism: Danio rerio (zebrafish)
Lineage: Eukaryota; Metazoa; Chordata; Actinopteri; Cypriniformes; Danionidae
Source: Rfam